GAGACGACGAAAGAUCGAGAGAGAGAGAGAGAGUCGCGAAUCCCGCACUUUUCCACCGAUAUCGAGAGGUGAAAUCGAGAGUACGUAGAAACACGCGGCAUGGCACGAGGCCGCUCGAGGCGUUUUGAAUAGCGUGGAAGGCGCGAAUUCCGGUAGUGAACAGGUAUUGCGAACGAACCGUGUACGGGCUACUGUGUGUAUAUCGCGUAUCUCGCGCGUUCGAUCUUUCGCGAAUUAAUACGUUUCGAAAGGAACAAAUGUCGAAAUAGGCGAAUGAACGAUAUUAAACGGAAUCGAAUACGAUUUUCGAAAUUUAUAGUAGAGGCUUCGUAUCGAAAAAGAAUUGACGAAAAUAAGCGCGAGGGAGGAACGAGGAUGUUCGACCCGUUAUCGAUCGAGAACCAUUGUUACCAGGUGGAAGAGGAUGAAAUCCGCGACGAUGAAUAAACACCGCCGCUUUCGAAAGCUGUAUACCGAGGAUGUUGAAGAUUUCGUGGCACGAUAAAGGCUGGAACGAAUGGCGACCGUGAAGGAGAGAAAAGCGAUACGCGACUCUGGUGUAACUCAUAAUUGAAAGGAUUGAAAUACACAGAGAGAGAGAGAGAGUGGACCAACGCUCGACGGGACAUCGUGUGCAAAUGUUAUGAAAUCUGUGGAGGAAGGAUCUUGAUUGGUAGGAGAAUAUGUAAACAUAGGAGAGGAAUAUGUAGAAACAUGAAUUGAUAAAUAUUCGUUUGACAAUUACGUCGCUAUGAUCGAGAACACGCGUCUCCACUUAGGGAAAUAUCAUAGUCAUCGUCAUAGAUUUUUUUCGUCAUUCGAAUGACAUUCUCUUUUAAAUAUUACGAGAUUAAUUAUCUCGCGAUAAGAGAAUUCCGUGAAAUGUAACGAUGGUUAUUUCGAUAAAGAAACAAAAAGGAAGAAAGAAAAGGAAAAGAGGAAAGUCGAAUCAUUGGAUAAACGGAAUUUAAAUGUUGCAAUGUAGGUGGAUGAUUUUAGCUUAGAAUUAUUCGGAGUGCUGUCAUCGUAUUUACCUUUGAAAAGAAAUGAGUCAACGAUAAAGAAUCGCAACAUGAGCCGAUCUUAUGGGAAUUCUCUGAAUUCUCGAAACACCCUCGAGAUAAUAAAUACAAAGUUAAUUAUUUUCCUCCAUUUCUUUAUCAAAACUACGAAACUUUACAACGAUACAAAUUAAGAGAAAAGGACAAUUGGAACAACGAAAGCUGAACUUUUCGAACUGUGACAAUUUCUUCUUUUUACAUCAAAUUAAUUUCGCGACAAACGAUUCCUCGCAAAGUUGUGAAACGACAACAUCGCAUCCCAUUAAACUUUUAAACGAUUCUUCGUGACGUAGAUCGAUCCUCUACGAUGCAACACGAAAUUAUCCACGACUAUUUAAUAAAUACCAUUAUUUACGAGC
Molecule: long non-coding RNA, 1420 nt
Organism: Apis cerana (Asiatic honeybee)
Lineage: Eukaryota; Metazoa; Arthropoda; Insecta; Hymenoptera; Apidae
Source: RefSeq, a predicted model, not a curated record